This is a long non-coding RNA of Athalia rosae (coleseed sawfly), 1018 nucleotides long. RefSeq lists it as uncharacterized. The transcript has 2 exons. The record is from RefSeq and is a predicted model, not a curated record. Lineage: Eukaryota; Metazoa; Arthropoda; Insecta; Hymenoptera; Athaliidae.
CAAACAGAAAUAGUUAAUCUUACAAUUGAUUCUAAAGCAAAAUGGAGCAUAAUUUGAAUGCUGCUUCAAACAUCAUGUAGUUCAAACCUUUAUGUCUCCUUAUAAAAACAUAAAUAUUGACGCAUUCAAUUACUAGCUAGUUUUUAGUAAUGACAGCAUCUUGUAUUUGUACAGGUCAGUAAAUAACUCACAUACUUUUGAUAGCUGUGGAAUGGUACUAUAACUCUUUGCUUUGUAUAUAAAGUAAACUUGCCAACCAUCCACGUGCAGAGCACGUAUCUGCGUGUGGAAUAAUAAAUUUUGCAUCAAUGAGCAAAAAAUAUUGGUUCAUGUAAUUUAUAAUUAUGGAAUGAAUGCACAGAGGGAUGAAAUAUUUUUUGUAUAAAGAUUGCUCUCAUCGCUUAUUGACUUGUUCAACAUUAUACCAGAUCCAUCAAAUGACACAAGAAUUGAAUGCCAAACACUCCUGACAAAAGGUGAUCAUUGUUCCCUUCAGGCAUGAAAAAAAUUUCUGCAUUUUACUACUUUUAAAUCUCAAGUUAAAGAUAACCCUGGCAAAUGAAUAACAAGUAGUGUAUCAAGGAGAAGGUGACUGUACUGAUUGUUACUGUGUUUGUAGGUCAAGGUGAGUAUGUAACGUAAUGCAACAUCAUAAGCGACAAUGGUAAGCAGUGACAUGAGCAUAAACUAGGAAUCAAAACGACUUGAGAAAAAUGAAUAGCGAUGGGCGAAAUUUCUCUUUGUCUCUAGCUAUUGAAUUCAAGAAGCUAUUAGAUAUGAUGACCUCUUCUAAGUAUAUGGAAACCCCAGAAACUCUUCUAUAGGCAUUAACCAAAGGGAAUCGAGGAAAUUCAAUGAAGAGAUUCAAGUUCAAACUCGUAAAGAUGAUUCAAAAAAUAUGUUGAAUUUCAUGGGUCUUUGUACGCAUAACAUGUUGUCAAGAAACUUGAAAAGUUUCGAAAUAUGUAGUCGCAGGAAUGCUUUUGUUAUGAAAACUUAAAUAAACGAACUCAAUUGA